CUUUAGACUUUCCAUGUAAAAACUCUUCAUGUAAAAAUGUGUGCAGAUACACAAGGAGAUUAAAGUUGCCACGGUGUGAUGAAUGCCUGGCGUCCUGUGUCGUGAGUGGUGCGUUGGCUCUGUUGCCGCAGGGCAGCCGAUGUGUGCUGCCUGCGAGGCCGCCCUGUGUGGAGACGCUGAGCUGUGUCGCUUUCUCCCCUCCAGGCUGGACGGCAGUCUGGAAACGACCAAUGAGAUCCUGGACUCUGCCUCUCACGACUGCCCCUUAGUCACUCAGACAUACGGCGCAGCUGCAGCAAAAGGUACUUACGUGCCUUCAUCCCCAACGAGACUUGGCUACACAGACGACCUGGGUGCUGUGGGUGGCGCCUGCCUGGAGGAUGAGGCCAGUGCCCUGCGCCUGGAUGAGGACAGCGAGCACCCACCCAUGAUUCUUCGGACUGACUGAACUUGACCUGUGACCCUGACCCGGGGAGCAGAGAACACUGGCUUCACAGAAGACUUUGUGCAUUGCUGCUAUGAACUUUGACCUGAGUCGGGGGAGAGGAUGGCAGAGACUUUAUUAAAAAAAAAAAAAGAUUGUAGUGGUAGUCUAACUCCAUAACGCUGAGGAAAUACGUCAUUUUCACCUCAAUGGCUUUUAAAUCCUGCUUAUGAAUUUUAGCUUUUUGUUUGUUUGUUUUCUCUUUUUGCCAAAAUUAACUGGUGAAGCCCGCAAAACCUCCUCGCUUUGCAUGCAUGAACGUGCCAAGCCAGCAUAGGGGAGCUAGAAGCCACUCUCCAGCCACCUGCCAUUGGGUUUUUUAAUAUCUGUACAUAAUGC
RNAcentral lists this small RNA (823 nucleotides) under Pongo abelii (Sumatran orangutan). RNAcentral's name for it is "retained intron". Lineage: Eukaryota; Metazoa; Chordata; Mammalia; Primates; Hominidae. The record is from RNAcentral.